AGAAUCAACGCUGGCGGCGUGCCUAACACAUGCAAGUCGAACGAGAAAGUGGAGCAAUCCAUGAGUAAAGUGGCGACCGGGUGAGUAACACGUGACUAACCUACCUUCGAGUGGGGGAUAACCUCGGGAAACCGGGGCUAAUACCGCAUAACAUCUUUGAAGUGGAAAUUUCGGAGAUCAAAGGAGCAAUUCGCUGGAAGAGGGGGUCGCGGCUGAUUAGCUAGUUGGCGGGGUAACGGCCCACCAAGGCUUAGAUCGGUA
This 261-nucleotide ribosomal RNA is filed under the name uncultured bacterium. RNAcentral describes it as "partial small subunit ribosomal RNA". It matches the Rfam family "Bacterial small subunit ribosomal RNA", at positions 26 to 285 of the family's 1533-position model. The record is from RNAcentral.